Molecule: ribosomal RNA, 420 nt
Filed under: uncultured bacterium
Lineage: Bacteria
Description: bacterial SSU rRNA
Rfam family: Bacterial small subunit ribosomal RNA
Source: RNAcentral
AAGGAAUAUUGGUCAAUGGACGCAAGUCUGAACCAGCCAUGCCGCGUGAAGGAUGAAGGUCCUCUGGAUUGUAAACUUCUUUUAUCUGGGACGAAAACGGGAUUUUUAUCUCAAUUGACGGUACCAGAGGAAUAAGCACCGGCUAACUCCGUGCCAGCAGCCGCGGUCAUACGGAGGGUGCGAGCGUUAUCCGGAUUUACUGGGUUUAAAGGGUGCGUAGGUGGGCUUAUAAGUCAGUGGUGAAAUCUCCGAGCUUAACUUGGAAACUGCCGUUGAUACUAUAGGUCUUGAAUUAUCUGGAGGUAAGCGGAAUAUGUCAUGUAGCGGUGAAAUGCUUAGAUAUGACAUAGAACACCAAUUGCGAAGGCAGCUUACUACAUAUAAAUUGACGCUGAGGCACGAAAGCGUGGGGAUCAAACA